UGAAACAAGGGAAAACAUUGGCAGCAGUAAAGAAUUUUAUGCAAUAUACGAAAGUAAGACAUAGGCAGAACCUUUUAACCUGUCAAAUUAAGUGCCAGCAGACGCGGUGAAACUUAAGGGUUUGUUUUUUAGAAAAAGCAGAAAGCGUGUAAAGGUAAAACAUUUAAAAUAAAUAGAAUUUUUUUAGUAAUAGUGCAAUAUUAAAAGAAAAAAAAGAAUUUUUUAUGUGAAGACAAUUUAUUUUUUUUCUUUAACACGAAGGUUCUGGGAGCAAACAGGAUUAGAGACCCUGGUAGUCGAUACAGUAAAAGAAAGUCGCUUGAGUAGUACGGUCGCAAGAUUAAAAUUCAAAAAACUUGGCUGUUCAUUGUUAUUUAGAGGAGCGUGUUGCUUAAUUCGAUAAUCCGCGAGUUACCUUACCAAAACUAGCUUUUUCAGGUGUUGCAUGGCCGUCGUCAAUUUAUGUUUGAUACAAUAGAUUAAACCCUAGAAAGGUUGAAGUCAGGUAUUAUUGCCUUUAUGUUUUGGGGUUAAAUGCGCUACAUUUUUUUUUUAAUAAAAAAAAAGAGUUCGGAUUGUCUUUAAAAGAGGAUGAUGAAGUUGGAUUUAAUAGUAAUUGAAAAGUAGAGCGUUUCAAUGAAUUUGCCGCAAUGUUAGUACAAAUUGCCCGUCGCCUCUGCUGAUGGAAACAAAGUA
Molecule: ribosomal RNA, 696 nt
Filed under: Oxypora lacera
Lineage: Eukaryota; Metazoa; Cnidaria; Anthozoa; Scleractinia; Lobophylliidae
Also listed under: 3 other names
Description: partial 12S ribosomal RNA
Rfam family: Bacterial small subunit ribosomal RNA
Source: RNAcentral